AUUCCAGCUCCAAUAGCGUAUAUUAAAGUUGUUGCAGUUAAAAAGCUCGUAGUUGGAUGUGUGGUGGCUCGUGCGGUCCAAAAUGUUUUGGUGCUGUGUAGAGCUGCCAUCUUUGGGUCUAAUCUGUGGGGGAUUAGGUUCUUUUGCAGACGAAGCCCAUCGUUUACUGUGAAAAAAUUAGAGUGUUCUAAGCAGGCUUACGCCGUUGAAUAUAUUAGCAUGGAAUAAUAAAACAUGGCUCUGACGCUAUUUUGUUGGUUUGCGUGCCGGAGUAAUGAUUAAUAGGGACCGUUGGGGGUAUUCGUAUUCCAUUGUCAGAGGUGAAAUUCUUGGAUUUCUGGAAGACGAACUACUGCGAAAGCAUUUACCAAGGAUGUU
RNAcentral lists this ribosomal RNA (378 nucleotides) under Pinnularia valida. RNAcentral's name for it is "bacterial SSU rRNA". It matches the Rfam family "Eukaryotic small subunit ribosomal RNA", at positions 582 to 968 of the family's 1831-position model. Lineage: Eukaryota; Bacillariophyta; Bacillariophyceae; Sellaphorales; Pinnulariaceae. The record is from RNAcentral.